CCAUACUAUCCCCGUCGCUGCAAAAUCAGCGACCGGGUUUGGCGACCUGGUAU
RNAcentral lists this non-coding RNA (53 nucleotides) under unclassified sequences. The record is from RNAcentral.